AUACUGAACUAGCCGUUGUUAACUCAUUGGCUGCCAGCCAUUUUCUGAGCAGCCAACCCCUCACUGCCAGCUGUUUUGGGGAAUUUUGAUCUAUGUUUCAAGACCCACAGAAUACUGUCUGCUAUGACUAUGAAAAAAACAAAACCACCAUCAGAAAGAUUAGAGUCUUAUCUUUCAUCAAAAAAAAAAAGUUUGUCUCUACCUUUUUCCAUUCUUGAGUAAUUGGCAGGAGAACAUAGGGUGGUUUCACCAAAAACACCAGUUUCCAACUAAAAAGGUGAGAAAAACAGCUUUUUGUGAAAUGACGCAUGUCGACCAGAACAGUGACUUUGAUGUGAAUAUUUUUUACUUUAGUGACACCUCAAACAUGUGAACAUUGUUUGCUGCUAUAAAAACAAC
This is a long non-coding RNA of Thalassophryne amazonica, 399 nucleotides long. RefSeq lists it as uncharacterized. The record is from RefSeq and is a predicted model, not a curated record. The transcript has 3 exons. Lineage: Eukaryota; Metazoa; Chordata; Actinopteri; Batrachoidiformes; Batrachoididae.